Molecule: long non-coding RNA, 219 nt
Filed under: Solanum lycopersicum (tomato)
Lineage: Eukaryota; Viridiplantae; Streptophyta; Magnoliopsida; Solanales; Solanaceae
Description: partial TCONS_00160464
Source: RNAcentral
CUUUUUUUCAUUCUCUUCUAUCUCUUGUUUGUUCAACCCCACUGAUUCUUCAAAAGCUUGCAUUUGGUUCUCUAUAUUCACCCAUAUGAGAAAUUAACUCAUUAACGGACCCUUGCACCAGCUUCAUCUAGUUCUUUAAGGGCAUUUUCACCAAUCUGUUCCAUUUCACAAUUGGCUUCUUCAGCAAACUGUGUUAGAUAUGCAGAUCUUUCAUCUAAG